This 446-nucleotide ribosomal RNA is filed under the name uncultured bacterium. Its description in RNAcentral is "bacterial SSU rRNA". It matches the Rfam family "Bacterial small subunit ribosomal RNA", at positions 355 to 793 of the family's 1533-position model. The record is from RNAcentral.
UGGGGAAUUUUGGACAAUGGGGGCAACCCUGAUCCAGCAAUGCCGCGUGUGCGAAGAAGGCCUUCGGGUUGUAAAGCACUUUUGUCAGGGAAGAAAUCUUUUGGGCUAAUACCCCGGAAGGAUGACGGUACCUGAAGAAUAAGCACCGGCUAACUACGUGCCAGCAGCCGCGGUAAUACGUAGGGUGCAAGCGUUAAUCGGAAUUACUGGGCGUAAAGCGUGCGCAGGCGGUUCGCUAAGACAGUCGUGAAAUCCCCGGGCUUAACCUGGGAACUGCGAUUGUGACUGGCGAGCUAGAGUACGGCAGAGGGGGGUGGAAUUCCUGGUGUAGCAGUGAAAUGCGUAGAGAUCAGGAGGAACACCGAUGGCGAAGGCAGCCCCCUGGGCUAGUACUGACGCUCAUGCACGAAAGCGUGGGGAGCAAACAGGAUUAGAUACCCUGGUAG